Molecule: non-coding RNA, 125 nt
Organism: Triticum urartu
Lineage: Eukaryota; Viridiplantae; Streptophyta; Magnoliopsida; Poales; Poaceae
Source: Rfam
CAUAUACUCCCUCCAUCCAGAAAUAUUUGUCCGAGGAAUGGAUGUAUCUAGAUGUAUUUUAGUUCUAGAUACAUCCAUCUGUAUCCAUUUCUACGACAAGUAUUUCCAGACGGAGGGAGUAUUAC